UACGAGGGGUGCAAGCGUUGCUCGGAAUUAUUGGGCGUAAAGGGUAAGUAGGUGGUCUCAUUUGUCUGGGGUGAAAGCCUUGAGCUUAACUCAAGAAGUGCCCCAGAAACGGUGAGACUAGAGUCCUGGAGAGGGUCGUGGAAUUCCCGGUGUAGCGGUGAAAUGCGUAGAGAUCGGGAGGAACACCAGAGGCGAAGGCGGGUCUCUGGACAGUUCCUGACGCUGAGGCACGAAGGCCAGGGGAGCAAACGGG
This 253-nucleotide ribosomal RNA is filed under the name uncultured bacterium. RNAcentral describes it as "partial 16S ribosomal RNA". It matches the Rfam family "Bacterial small subunit ribosomal RNA", at positions 524 to 776 of the family's 1533-position model. The record is from RNAcentral.